AGGAACAGAUGUGCUACUGAAAGAGAGACAUCCUAUUAUCCUGGAAAUGUACUCCAUAAUGAAGAACAAGGGGAAAAAGAUCAGAAGAUUCAAAGAAUUAGCUGGACUAUGUCUCCAGGUGGAUGACUCUAUGGAAACUUUGAGCUGUAUGGAACAACCUCCUGAUCAUCCAUUUACCUUGCUUUGGUACAUUAGGACUUUAAUAGAAACUGCCUAAUGUGCAGGUAAAAAACUAUCAGGACUCAAAACAAGGCCUGUCCAAU
Molecule: long non-coding RNA, 263 nt
Filed under: Homo sapiens (human)
Lineage: Eukaryota; Metazoa; Chordata; Mammalia; Primates; Hominidae
Description: HSALNT0310713
Source: RNAcentral